ACUCAAAAGGGAAUUGACGGGGGCCCGCACAAGCGGUGGAGUAUGUGGUUUAAUUCGAUGCAACGCGAAGAACCUUACCUGGCCUUGACAUGUCGAGAACUUUCCAGAGAUGGAUUGGUGCCUUCGGGAACUCGAACACAGGUGCUGCAUGGCUGUCGUCGGCUCGUGUCGUGAGAUGUUGGGUUAAGUCCCGCAACGAGCGCAACCCUUGUCCUUAGUUGCCAGCACGUAAUGGUGGGAACUCUAAGGAGACCGCCGGUGACCAGCCGGAGGAAGGUGGGGAUGGCGUCAAGUCAUCAUGGCCCUUACGGCCAGGGCUACACACGUACUACAAUGGUAGGGACAGAGGGCUGCAAGCCGGCGACGGUAAGCCAAUCCCAGAAACCCUAUCUCAGUCCGGAUUGGAGUCUGCAACUCGACUCCAUGAAGUCGGAAUCGCUAGUAAUCGCAGAUCAGCAUUGCUGCGGUGAAUACGUUCCCGGGCCUUGUACACACCGCCCGUCACACCAUGGGAGUUUGUCGCACCAGAAGCAGGUAGCUUAACCUUCGGGAGGGCGCUUGCCACGGUGUGGCUGAUGACUGGGGUGAAGUCGUAACAAG
This 600-nucleotide ribosomal RNA is filed under the name uncultured Stenotrophomonas sp. Its description in RNAcentral is "bacterial SSU rRNA". It matches the Rfam family "Bacterial small subunit ribosomal RNA", at positions 899 to 1495 of the family's 1533-position model. The record is from RNAcentral. Lineage: Bacteria; Pseudomonadati; Pseudomonadota; Gammaproteobacteria; Lysobacterales; Lysobacteraceae.